RNAcentral lists this transfer RNA (61 nucleotides) under Desmophyllum pertusum. RNAcentral's name for it is "tRNA-Ser". It matches the Rfam family "tRNA", at positions 7 to 64 of the family's 71-position model. From Rfam's summary of the family: Transfer RNA (tRNA) molecules are approximately 80 nucleotides in length. Lineage: Eukaryota; Metazoa; Cnidaria; Anthozoa; Scleractinia; Caryophylliidae. The record is from RNAcentral.
GUGGUGUAGUGGUUACCACGUCCGCCUUGAACGCGGGAGACCGAGGUUCGAGUCCUCGCCA